AUACGUAGGGAGCGAGCGUUAUCCGGAUUUACUGGGCGUAAAGGGCGUGUAGGCGGUCUUGCAAGUCAGAAGUGAAAUUCCUGAGCUCAACUCGGGCGCUGCUUCUGAAACUGCAGGACUUGAGUGCUGGAGGGGAUAGCGGAAUUCCUAGUGGAGCGGUAAAAUGCGCAGAUAUUAGGAAGAACACCGGUGGCGAAGGCGGCUAUCUGGACAGUAACUGACGCUGAGGCGCGAAAGCGUGGGGAUCGAACAGGAUUAGAUACCCUGGUAGUCCACGCCGUAAACGAUGGGCGCUCGUCGUCGGCGGCAGACAGUCGGCGGCCAAGCGAAGGCGAUAAGCGCCCCACCUGGGGAGUACGGUCGCAAGGCUGAAACUCAAAUGAAUUGACGGGG
RNAcentral lists this ribosomal RNA (393 nucleotides) under uncultured bacterium. RNAcentral's name for it is "partial 16S ribosomal RNA". It matches the Rfam family "Bacterial small subunit ribosomal RNA", at positions 523 to 918 of the family's 1533-position model. The record is from RNAcentral.